AGCAGUGUGGUUCAGUGGAAAGAAUACAGAUCUGGGAGUCAGAGUACCUGGGUUCUAAUCCUGGCUCUGUUA
This 72-nucleotide transfer RNA is filed under the name Ornithorhynchus anatinus (platypus). It matches the Rfam family "tRNA". Rfam says of the family: Transfer RNA (tRNA) molecules are approximately 80 nucleotides in length. Their secondary structure includes four short double-helical elements and three loops (D, anti-codon, and T loops). Lineage: Eukaryota; Metazoa; Chordata; Mammalia; Monotremata; Ornithorhynchidae. The record is from Rfam by way of RNAcentral.